UCGGCGGGGAAGAAAUCGNAUCUCCUAAUACGGGGUGUGGAUGACGGUACCCGAAUAAGAAGCACCGGCUAACUACGUGCCAGCAGCCGCGGUAAUACGUAGGGUGCGAGCGUUAAUCGGAAUUACUGGGCGUAAAGCGUGCGCAGGCGGUUUUGUAAGACAGAUGUGAAAUCCCCGGGCUCAACCUGGGAGCUGCAUUUGUGACUGCAAGGCUAGAGUAUGGCAGAGGGGGGUGGAAUUCCACGUGUAGCAGUGAAAUGCGUAGAGAUGUGGAGGAACACCGAUGGCGAAGGCAGCCCCCUGGGCCAAUACUGACGCUCAUGCACGAAAGCAUGGGGAGCAAACAGGAUUAGAUACCCUGGUAGUCCACGCCCUAAACGAUGUCAACUAGGUGCUGGUGGGGUUAAACCCAUUAGUACCGUAGCUAACGCGUGAAGUUGACCGCUGGGGAGUACGGCCGCAAGGUUAAAACUCAAAGGAACUGACGGGGACCCGCACAAGCGGUGGAUGAUGUGGAUUAAUUCGAUGCAACGCGAAAAACCUUACCUACCCUUGACAUGUCCAGAAGCCUGAAGAGAUUUGGGUGUGCUCGAAAGAGAACUGGAACACAGGUGCUGCAUGGCUGUCGUCAGCUCGUGUCGUGAGAUGUUGGGUUAAGUCCCGCAACGAGCGCAACCCUUGUCAUUAGUUGCCAUCAUUUAGUUGGGCACUCUAAUGAGACUGCCGGUGACAAACCGGAGGAAGGUGGGGAUGACGUCAAGUCCUCAUGGCCCUUAUGGGUAGGGCUUCACACGUCAUACAAUGGUCGGUACAGAGGGUUGCCAAGCCGCGAGGUGGAGCCAAUCCCAGAAAGCCGAUCGUAGUCCGGAUCGUAGUCUGCAACUCGACUACGUGAAGUCGGAAUCGCUAGUAAUCGCGGAUCAGCAUGUCGCGGUGAAUACGUUCCCGGGUCUUGUACACACCGCCCGUCACACCAUGGGAGUGGGUUCUACCAGAAGUAGUUAGCCUAACCGCAAGGAGGGCGAUUACCACGGUAGGGUUCAUGACUGGGGUGAAGUCGUAACAAGGUAGCC
Molecule: ribosomal RNA, 1073 nt
Filed under: uncultured beta proteobacterium
Lineage: Bacteria; Pseudomonadati; Pseudomonadota; Betaproteobacteria
Description: bacterial SSU rRNA
Rfam family: Bacterial small subunit ribosomal RNA
Source: RNAcentral